GACGAACCGUGCAAACGUUGUUCGGAAUCACUGGGCUUAAAGGGCGCGUAGGCGGGCGGUCAAGUCCGGGGUGAAAUCUUUCGGCUCAACCGGAAAAUGGCCUUGGAUACUGACUGUCUAGAGGGUGGUAGGGGCAUGCGGAACUUCCGGUGGAGCGGUGAAAUGUGUUGAUAUCGGAAGGAACACCGGUGGCGAAAGCGGCGUGCUGGACCUCUUCUGACGCUGAGGCGCGAAAGCCAGGGGAGCAAAC
This 250-nucleotide ribosomal RNA is filed under the name uncultured bacterium. RNAcentral's name for it is "partial 16S ribosomal RNA". It matches the Rfam family "Bacterial small subunit ribosomal RNA", at positions 524 to 773 of the family's 1533-position model. The record is from RNAcentral.